CCCUUAGACGUUCUGGGCCGCACGCGCGCUACACUGACCAGUGCAACAAGCAUCCGUCCUUGGCCGACAGGCCCGGGCAAUCUUUGAACGCUGGUCGUGCUGGGGAUAGACUUUUGCAAUUUUUGGUCUUCAACGAGGAAUUCCUAGUAAACGCAAGUCAUCAACUUGCAUUGAUUACGUCCCUGCCCUUUGUACACACCGCCCGUCGCACCUACCGAUUGAAUGGUCCGGUGAAGCCUCCGGAUUGGCGCGCACCUCGGUGCCGCCGAGAAGUUGGCUAAACCUUACCAUUUAGAGGAAGGUGAAGUCGUAACA
RNAcentral lists this ribosomal RNA (315 nucleotides) under uncultured eukaryote. RNAcentral describes it as "partial 18S ribosomal RNA". It matches the Rfam family "Eukaryotic small subunit ribosomal RNA", at positions 1470 to 1796 of the family's 1831-position model. The record is from RNAcentral.